GACGAACGCUGGCGGCGUGCUUAACACAUGCAAGUCGAACGAAGUGGCGAACGGGUGAGUAAAGCGUAAUCAACCUGCCCUUCAGAGGGGGACAACAGUUGGAAACGACUGCUAAUACCGCAUACUGAAGGAGGGGAUUGCGUCUGUUUAGCUAGUUGGAGGGGUAACGGCCCACCAAGGCGAUGAUCAGUAGCCGGGUUGGGGGGAUGGACGGCCACAUGUGGACUGGGACACGGGCCAGGCCCCUACGGGAAGCAGCAGUGGGGAAUCUGCGGAAAUGGAGGAAAGUCUGACGGAGCAACGCCGCGUGGGUGGUGGCGGCCUUCGGGUUGUAAAGCUCUGUUAAUCGGGGCGCGGUACCGGAAUAGAAAGCCACGGCUAACUACGUGCCAGCAGCCGCGGUAAUUC
This 408-nucleotide ribosomal RNA is filed under the name uncultured bacterium. RNAcentral's name for it is "partial 16S ribosomal RNA". It matches the Rfam family "Bacterial small subunit ribosomal RNA", at positions 28 to 526 of the family's 1533-position model. The record is from RNAcentral.